Zea mays is the source of this 1196-nucleotide long non-coding RNA. RefSeq lists it as uncharacterized. The transcript is spliced from 2 exons. NCBI's taxonomy places the organism in Eukaryota, Viridiplantae, Streptophyta, Magnoliopsida, Poales, Poaceae. The record is from RefSeq and is a predicted model, not a curated record.
CAGGUGAGCGGGCAGCGGCCUAGAUCUGUGUCCCCCGGUACUCCACGAGCUUUUUUUGGAAAUCUCGUGCGGAUCUGUGGUGUUUGGUUGGUUGGGAAGCCAGGAAGGUUAGCCGUAGGCUUGAGAUCUCGAUUUCGUCUCCGUGAUCUGGAUGUUGCAAAUCUAGCCACAUCCUGCGUGACUAUGCGUGUAGAUUUACUUCCUGUGUGCAUCGGUAAUUCGGUUUCCUUUCCACUUGUGAGAUUCGUUGGUUCAAACUUGUGCUUGAUGUUUUUUUUAAAAAAAUAGUACUAGUUUGGUAGUUUGCUAGCUUAGUAGCUUUUGUGUGGAUUGCUAUAAUGCAGGGCUUGUUCUGACUGCUUAAAGUAGGUUUGUGAAUGCGUGGCUAGACCUGUGACUAAAUUUUUGCUACCAAUAUAGUUCUGGAAAUUAGUUGGAAAAUAUGAUAAUUGCAUGUAGAUUUGUAAUUUGAAGUACUAUUAUACGAUUUCAAGUUAUUAAAUUUAAACCUUCUUUUGUAAUAGUGCAUACAUAUGCUACACCCACCUCCGCCAGCAUUUAGCAUCAUUGUAUUAUCAUAAAACCAUAAUUUCCAGGUAGUAUUUAGUUGUGCUAGUCUAUUAGGUGAAUGCUUUUAAUCAUUAUACCAUUUUCUGUUCAGCUUUACUAAGGAAAGUAGUGACUCGACUCGUGAAUAGCUGAACAAGACUGAUCUCAGUAUGCUGGCGAAAAAAUGGUGAAUUAGAGUAAUCAAUCAUAUUAUCUUCCAUAUUUGCAUAUAAUUAUACUUUUUGCAGGUGGUAUUAAUGGAGAAAGAUCAGAAAUAGCUGAAAUUGAAGCAGCAUCAACAAGUGAAGCUGCUCGGCUUAGAGCUGCUCUCCGGCUUGCUCCACCCGGCGCUGUUCGGGAACCUUACCAGUCUUUUGAACGGCUUACACAGACCUGUUUUGAUAAGAGCCGAGCAGCGAUUCUUCAAUUUCGGACCACGACCUAGCUAAAGGCUAAUGGUUCCAAAUGUCUGAAGUACCGAAGACAGGGCUAGCUCCUUGUUUUUUUGUCAUGUCAAAUAAAUCGUGUAUGAUUGCAACAAUAUUGGCAAAAUAUCGUUGUGCUUUAUAUUUUGAUGUACUGUGAACAAAACAAGUGCCCUAUGAGACCAUCAUGAUUUAUGCAUUUUCAAACUAAAUUUUACGACA